This 449-nucleotide ribosomal RNA is filed under the name uncultured bacterium. RNAcentral describes it as "partial 16S ribosomal RNA". It matches the Rfam family "Bacterial small subunit ribosomal RNA", at positions 29 to 523 of the family's 1533-position model. The record is from RNAcentral.
AGCGAACGCUGGCGGCAGGCCUAACACAUGCAAGUCGAACGAACUCUUCGGAGUUAGUGGCGGACGGGUGAGUAACACGUGGGAACGUGCCUUUAGGUUCGGAAUAACUCAGGGAAACUUGUGCUAAUACCGAAUGUGCCCUUCGGGGGAAAGAUUUAUCGCCUUUAGAGCGGCCCGCGUCUGAUUAGCUAGUUGGUGAGGUAACGGCUCACCAAGGCGACGAUCAGUAGCUGGUCUGAGAGGAUGGCCAGCCACACUGGGACUGAGACACGGCCCAGACUCCUACGGGAGGCAGCAGUGGGGAAUCUUGCGCAAUGGGCGAAAGCCUGACGCAGCCAUGCCGCGUGAAUGAUGAAGGUCUUAGGAUUGUAAAAUUCUUUCACCGGGGACGAUAAUGACGGUACCCGGAGAAGAAGCCCCGGCUAACUUCGUGCCAGCAGCCGCAGUAA